GCCCGUCUAGCUCAGUUGGUAGAGCGCAAGGCUCUUAACCUUCUGGUCGUGGGUUCGAGCCCCACGGUGGGCG
Transfer RNA from Arabidopsis thaliana (thale cress), 73 nucleotides. It matches the Rfam family "tRNA". Rfam says of the family: Transfer RNA (tRNA) molecules are approximately 80 nucleotides in length. Their secondary structure includes four short double-helical elements and three loops (D, anti-codon, and T loops). Further hydrogen bonds mediate the characteristic L-shaped molecular structure. tRNAs have two regions of fundamental functional importance: the anti-codon, which is responsible for specific mRNA codon recognition, and the 3' end, to which the tRNAs corresponding amino acid is attached (by aminoacyl-tRNA synthetases). tRNAs cope with the degeneracy of the genetic code in two manners: having more than one tRNA (with a specific anti-codon) for a particular amino acid; and 'wobble' base-pairing, i.e. permitting non-standard base-pairing at the 3rd anti-codon position. NCBI's taxonomy places the organism in Eukaryota, Viridiplantae, Streptophyta, Magnoliopsida, Brassicales, Brassicaceae. The record is from Rfam.